Molecule: long non-coding RNA, 1211 nt
Organism: Passer domesticus (house sparrow)
Lineage: Eukaryota; Metazoa; Chordata; Aves; Passeriformes; Passeridae
Exons: 4
Source: RefSeq, a predicted model, not a curated record
GUGACUUCCAUCACUGGGAAACACUGUUAAAGCACAGUUUAAGGAUGUUGGAGCUUGGUGAUGGUGAACCUGAUGAUGAAGACGAUCCUGAUGACGAAGAUAAUACUUUUGAUGAAGACGAUCUGAAUUCCCAACCUGUACCCAUUACUGAGCCUCUGGGAGAUGCUGAGGGUGUGUCUGCAGGGAGGACUUUGGUGGAUGUUGCACACAAGCCCCGCUCCCAUGGCAGGGGUGAGUAGUGUGUCCCUGCUGACCCCACAGGCUGGGACUUCGUUUUGUGAGAUCCAUUCCUGGGAAAUGGAACUCUGUUUCUCUUAAGGUCCUCCAAGAAGGAAGAAGAAACCUACAGGAGCUCGUAAGUCCCUGGACCAUUCCAAACAUCUGGAACAAAAACAGAGUGGCGUGGACAGCCAGCUUAGUGGGUGCAUUUCCCUCAGCCUUCCCCUGGGACUCAGCAGCCGGGGGCUUUGGCUGCACAUGUGGACACACCGUGCCCAGCACAGCGGGAAGACAUCAAUGCACCACCGGCCAUGCACACCCUAAGAUCCCCUGCAAUUUCCCAGUCUCUGCGCACAUCUGGAGGGGCCGCUCUUUGCAGGAGAGAGGGCCCUGGAGCAGCUCCAAAAUCCUGACCAUUUUCCUUGUCGUUAUCCAUUUCUUUGACAAGUGUUAGUUGGAACAGAAGGGCACAGCAUAGAGGAAUUAUGGCAUGCAGGGUCAGGGGUUUGGGUACUGAGCAGUCCUGUGCCAAGGGGCAGCAAGAUGCCUGCACGCUCCAGCUCUGGAGGAAACAGGGAGUGAGGAGGUCCUGCCCAUAUCCACCACGCUGCAUUUCAGCAGUGCAGCACAGCAGGGGCUCACGCUCCCCAUUGCUCCCACAGAUGCAGCCGAGACCUCAACAGAUUCUGACUACACUUGGAAUAGCAUGAGAAGAGUUUUCUGCUGGGGAACACCUUGUUUGAUUAAGUUGAUGGUCAUUGUGGCUGGUGCAGCACUGUGCCUGCUUUUGUGCUCUGCCGGAAUCUGGUAUUGCUGGAAGAGAAAACGGUGCUCCUGUGCGUCACCAGCAGAUGGGCCUAACAACACAGACAGCGGGAGCUUGACAGUUUAUCCCAGCUCUCCACUUCUGCCCCUAUCUGCCCUGCCAUGGCUGCAGCAGCGUCAGGAGGCCAUUCCAAAACCCAUCCUUCCACGAGACCCUCUGCCCCUGA